This 118-nucleotide non-coding RNA is filed under the name uncultured Symbiodinium. The record is from RNAcentral. Lineage: Eukaryota; Dinophyceae; Suessiales; Symbiodiniaceae.
GGAACAAAAGACUAAACUAAACUAAACAAAGAUGAGUGAGAGAAGGGAACGCAUGCUUUGUUUAUUCGUUUUGUUUAGUUCUUUUGUUUCGUUCACUUUUUUCCUUUUUCAUUUGGCU